GAUGAAGAACGUAGCGAAAUGCGAUAAGUAAUGUGAAUUGCAGAAUUCAGUGAAUCAUCGAAUCUUUGAACGCACAUUGCGCCCCCUGGUAUUCCGGGGGGCAUGCCUGUUCGAGCGUCAUUACAACCUUCAAGCUCUGCUUGGUAUUGGGCCCCGCCAGUUCUGGCGGGCCCUAAAGUCAGUGGCGGUGCCUUCCGGCUCCGAGCGUAGUAAUUCUUCUCGCUCUGGAGACCCGGUUGUGUGCUUGCCAACAACCCCCAAUUUUUUAAGGUUGACCUCGGAUCAGGUAGGGAUACCCGCUGAACUUAAGCAUAUCAAUAAGCGGAGGA
RNAcentral lists this unclassified non-coding RNA (329 nucleotides) under soil metagenome. RNAcentral's name for it is "partial contains 5.8S ribosomal RNA, internal transcribed spacer 2, and large subunit ribosomal RNA". The stretch from base 1 to 120 matches the Rfam family "5.8S ribosomal RNA", at positions 35 to 154 of the family's 154-position model. The record is from RNAcentral.